This 212-nucleotide long non-coding RNA is filed under the name Solanum tuberosum (potato). RNAcentral describes it as "long non-coding RNA (STUB_LNC010600)". Lineage: Eukaryota; Viridiplantae; Streptophyta; Magnoliopsida; Solanales; Solanaceae. The record is from RNAcentral.
UUUUUUUUUUAAGGAAAACAGCUGGCACAUUAUUUUAUUUUAUUUUAUAAUUGUUAUUGACUUAAAUUAAAUUAAUUACAUUACUCCUUUGACUUAGAAGUGUUCUCUUUCUCUUCAACUAUUUCCAAACCCUUCUUCCUCCAAGUUUCAACUUCUCCAAAAAUUUUAUUACCCCAUUCCGAACCCAAAUCACUUCUUGUCGUUGCCGCCCC